This 255-nucleotide ribosomal RNA is filed under the name uncultured bacterium. Its description in RNAcentral is "partial 16S ribosomal RNA". It matches the Rfam family "Bacterial small subunit ribosomal RNA", at positions 524 to 777 of the family's 1533-position model. The record is from RNAcentral.
UACAGAGGGUGCAAGCGUUGUUCGGAAUCAUUGGGCGUAAAGCGCACGUAGGCGGCCUGCUAAGUCGGAUGUGAAAGCCCCAGGGCUCAACCCUGGAAGUGCAUUCGAAACUGGCGGGCUUGAAUGUCGGAGAGGGCAGUGGAAUUCCGAGUGUAGAGGUGAAAUUCGUAGAUAUUCGGAGGAACACCAGUGGCGAAGGCGACUGCCUGGACGAACAUUGACGCUGAGGUGCGAAAGCGUGGGGAGCAAACAGGG